Molecule: unclassified non-coding RNA, 3089 nt
Filed under: Hevea brasiliensis (rubber tree)
Lineage: Eukaryota; Viridiplantae; Streptophyta; Magnoliopsida; Malpighiales; Euphorbiaceae
Source: RNAcentral
AAGAAUUUAGAUAAAUGAAAAAAUUUAUCUAUAUUCAAUCCAUUAUAAAUUCAAAACACAAUUAUUUUACAUAUAGGUUUGAUUGUGCAUAUGAGCCCGCGAUCGAGAUGAAUAGAGUCUGAGCAAUAAUUUCCCUAGAUUCUAACUAUAUGAGCCCAAGCAGAUAUCUCCACACAUGUUUUUGGCUUCAUGAAGUGUUGUUUGCAAAGGGGGUAACCACUUCUAUAUGAACCGAGUAAGAAGUGAGCGAAAAUCUCAGACAAAAUUGCUUCCUAUGUCACACAACAAACUUUCAAUUUUCGGGCAAUACACACCAAAACACACUGCCCAAUACCCCCAUGUUUUCAAAGUACGAAAGGUUUGCUUACUGAGUUGGUAAGCUCAAAUAGCUCUUUACUUUUUGUUGAGAAGAUGAGCAAGGUUUCGAAGUUCCUCAAAUGCAUGCAUUGUUUCUGCAUCAAAUCCUCCAGCAAACUGAUGAAUUCUGAAAGCAAACCUAACUCCUUGGAGUAGCAUAUAGUCUAGUGCAGGGUCCUUUUCUAGUGCUGCUUUUGACUGAAUUUCUAUUGCUACCCUCUUCAUGUACUUCUUUGCCAACUUCACUGAGCCAAAUUUUAUCUUGCUAAUAAUGCCAUUAUCCACCAUCCAAUCUGUUGGAAUUUGGAAAUCUUUGCAAUUACGCAUCAAGGAUUCUCUUGUUCUUAGAAGGUUGUAAACAGUACGUUCCAUUUUCUCAGAUAAAGUGACCAUUUUCUUUAAUGCAAUGUCACAAGGCAUUCGAGGAUCAUCCUUGUAAUAAGACACUUCUGACUCCAACUUCUUCAAAUCUCUAUACCCAAAUGCUGCUUCUCGUAGCGUAUCAGCUUUCUUUUCUGGCCAAUCGAAGUGCUUCAGGACUGCCCUUUCAUCCACCAGAAAGCCAAGUUCAUCAUCAAGCCACUUCACAAAUGCCACAACAUCUUCAAUGUUCUGGUAAACCGCAUUAUUGACCUCUCUUAUCAGUGAAUUGACGAAUUCUCCUUGAGUCUCAACAUCUGCUUUGAUAGCAAGCAAAUGUGACGAUCGAUUUUCAAUUUCACCAAUCAUGCUGCUACGUACAUUUGCAACAUCUGUGGCAUCACAGAUUCCUCCAUUUGAAGAUUCCUUUCUGGAGUCCCUCUUCAUUAGUGAAUGGUAAAAUUCAACAACUUGAGGUGCCCGCCGCACCACUCCUGCUAUAGUACUACUCACUGAGAACUUUGGUGGAGGUGGUGGGGGAGGCGGAGGUGGAGGUGGUGGUGGAUGUAGAACUUGACCUGAACCUUCUUCUUUAGGUACACUGGAAACAGAAUAUGAGGGUCUUGGAGGAGGAUUUGGAACGCGCAAAGCCCUUUUCUCAACAUCUAAUGAUGACACCAUCUUAUUAUUCUCUAGGCAAUUUUCAAAGAUUUGAGGUCUUUGAUCCAUGCCCAAAACAUACUUCUGGGAAGUUACUGCCUCAGAUUCCUUUUCUACUUCUUUACCACACAUAAAACCAUCAGAUUGCCUUCUCCUACUUGAUACCCACUCUUCUACACUGUACUUUGAUCCACUUAUAGAGUGUCGUCUUCUUGGGCUUCUUCCUUCCUCUGAAUGGACCCAAUUUUUAUCAGGGCAUUCCAAGUUUGACAAAUCCUCAUCAGGAAUAGGCCAUUUCUUCAACUUGUUAAUCAAAUUUAAUCUCUUUGCACUACUGUAUUCUAAGCAAUCAUUGCUCCGCCAAGAGAGUGAGCCAACAGAUUCAUUUCUUUUCUCUUCUGAGUUCAGGCCUGGGGCCUUAUCAAAGUUUGUUGUGCAUGAAUUGCGCAACUCAUCUCUCAAACAGGAAUUAACCCACCUCAGGUAGGCAAGCUCCUCAACCUCAUUUAACCUGCUCAUCUGCAGACCCUCAACUUGUUUACACAAAUCUUCAUUUGUCAGCCUUAGCGAAGAUGCCUCAGCUUUAAUUUUCGCUACUAUUUCACUCUCAGAAGCCUUGGCAAGAGAAGUCAAUUGAGUCUCCAUGGAAGAUAGUUUGCAAGAAAGAUUCCUCUUCUCCAUCUGCAGUUCCUUGUUCAACCUCCUUAACUCCACAACUUCCAUUUCUAAAUUCCCCACUGAACUCUCAUUACCUUCUUUUUUCAAUAUAUCUUCAUGCUUCUUCUCUGAAAUCAAACACAUCUCAGCCACUUGUUCACAAAGGACACUUUUCUCAGACUCCAAAAGCCCAAUUCUUUGGGAAAGCUCAUCAACCUCAUUUUUCUUUGUUUCAAGCUCCCUUUCAAGAUCCAAUAAUAUUCCAUUCCUUUUGAGCUCUGAUACCUCAGCUUGGAGCUUGAAUUCCCUUUCUUUUGAUUCUUGAAGCAAGCUUCUUAGAUGAUCUAAUUCCAGAAACAAAUCACGGGACCCUGAAGACUGUCUCCGGUGAUUAGCCUGGUAUGCAUGUGGGUGGACUUGGGUGGCUGUUACUGAGCAAGAAAGAUCACCAAUGAGUGAUCUUUUGACGCGUGAAUGAGAAGUCACAAUAGGGUUCUUUUGGCUCGCAGUAUCUGAAUUUGCUAGUGGAAGUUUCUUGCUCGUGACUGCUGUCGCCUGUGCCUUAGUUUUCUUAUCUGCUGUGAACCCUUUAACAAUGUGUGAACCCCACGAGGACCGGAGCUUCGAACCAUUGUUGCUAUUUCCUUUGACGUUGUUCUGUGGCUUUGGUGCUUGAUUUUGAUCGGCAAAUUUAGAUGCUCUAGAUUUGGAUUCAAAAGGGUUUUCUUCUCUCAUUGUAGAAAAUAAUUUCAAAUGUACAUAAGAAGGCCACUCUGGUUCUGUGUUUCAGAGCCAAUUCGAUACCAACAUUUUGCCUUUCAAGCUCUAAGAACUAAAACCCAGAACAAUUCUGAGCUCGAAAUGAAGCUCAAGAAACGAGGUUGCUCAUAUGAAGCUGUAUGCAAGCAUCCAAAAUUUGGGUUUUCCUGCAAAUUUUGACAAAAAACAAAAAUGAGGUGCCAACUGCCGAGUUUGGAUUUGAAAUUUGAAGAGCUGCGAAUGGGAUAGUGCCCAAAAUGGAAUUGGAAUGUGCAAAGUGGCAGCUUUUCUUUAUU